GCAGCAUCAGCCGCCUUCUCCUUCCCUUCUAUCCUCCGCUUCCUCCCCCUUCUCCCUCUCUCCGCCUCCCUCUUCUUCUUUCUCUCCUCUCUUCGCCUCUUCCCCUCCGCCCCUCUUCUUUUAUUUCUUUGCAGGACGACCGGCGACAACAACAUUCAGGCGAGGCGACCAGAAGCUCCGACCGGCGAAGCAACAUUCCGGCCACAGCAGCCACGCGAGGAUAGCCGCAGCAGCAACAACGUGACCAGCAGCUCCGACUGGCGAGCUGCUUUCUUCUCCGGACAGCAGCUCCGGUCAGCGAACUCCAUCAGGCGUCUUUGAAGUUUUAAGACGGAUCUAUGACAGAUCCUUCCGGGAAGUUUUGAUUUUUGAGCAUAAUGGUGGCUCCAUCUUCAACCUCUACCUCCCUGAAGGAGUACCUAAAAAAAUAUGAAAGUAACACCAAUGAAGAAGGAAAGAAGAAACAGAAGAAAAAGAAGAAGGUUAAACCUAAUGAUGUCAAAGGUGUCGUCGUUGUUGACGAAGAUCCUGUUUGGCAAAAGCCUGUAAAAAUUGAAGAUGAAGAGGAUGAGUCAGCUGAUGAAGAGCUGCCUCAGAUAAAUGAAGAUAUUGAAGUUAAGCGUAUGAAGAGAUUGGAACAGAUUAGAGCUAGACGUCCAUUUGGUUCUGUUUCAGAAGAUGGAAGUGGUUGGGUGUCUGUUUCAAGUACUUCUAAUGACCAAAUAUCUGAUUUGUCCCCGACAUGGAGAAGGCCUGGUCGAAAUGAUAGUCCCUCACCAGAACCUCAACUUAAUCUAUCAAGUCCUUCAGCUGAUUUAUCACCACCACGUAAAUCGAGGGCUCGAAAUGAUACACCCUCUCCAGAAAGUGAGCAACCAAGAACUCAGGAGGGUGAUCUGUCGCCACCCCGCAAACGUAGUGCCAGGAAUGAUACACAGAGGACUAGGAUUCUUACACCUUCACCUGAACCACAGUUGAAGCCUUCAAGUGCAAAAGAUGCUGAUUUGUCACCACCACGUAAGCGGAGGGUUCGGAAUGAUACACCUGAACCUGAAGUGAAGCCUUUGAGCACUAGAGAUGCUGAUAUUUCACCACCACGUAGACAAAGGGCUCGGAAUGAUACACCUGAAUCUGAUAUGAAGUCCUUGCGAAGUAGAGAUACGGAUAUCUCACCACCAAGGAGACGUAAAACUCGAAAUGAUACCCCUUCACCAGAACCCAAAGCCAGGCCUUCUGCUGAUUUAUCACCACCAAGACGGAGGCAAAAGUACGUCCAAAGUCUUUCUGAUAUCUCUGAUGUUUCUCCUCCUCGACGAGGUUCCCGUGCUCAAGGUGAUUCGAGAGCCGAUCAAGGUACAGAUCUCUCGCCCUUGAGGAAAAAGAAGGCCCAAAAUGUACUGGAGGCACGUCCAGAUUCAUCCACUACGAAGCAGGGACCAAAGACGGGUUUGGUUAGUGGCAAAGAUAUCAAAGAAGAAAUUGAUAGGACAAAGAAGGAAGACUGGAUGAGGUUUCAGGAAAUGGAUCCUUUGGUUAGUGGCCGUGGUGCUGAACCGGUAUAUCGGGAUAAAAUUACAGGACAACGGAUGUCAAAGGAGGAGUUCUUGAAGUCCAAGAAGAAGAAGGAUGAGAAGGAGAAGCCAAAGGAAAUAAAACUGGAAUGGGGAAAGGGCUUGGCUCAAAAGCGUGAAAUGGAGGUUAGGCUUCAGGAACUGGAAAAUGAGAAGGACAAGCCAUUUGCACGGAGCAGAGAUGAUCCAGAACUCGACACAAUGCUGAAGGAAAGAGUUCGAUGGGGGGACCCAAUGGCACAUUUGGUUAAGAAAAAGCUGGAUCCAAUUCUGCCAGACUUUGGGGCUAACGAGAAAAUGAAGGACUCUGGUUUUAUAAUCCCUCAGGAUAUCCCCUCUCACAGUUGGAUAAAAAGAGGCUUGGAUGCAGCACCUAAUCGUUAUGGGAUAAGGCCAGGGCGACACUGGGAUGGGGUUGAUCGGAGCACAGGAUACGAGAAGGAGUUGUUCAAGAGGACGAAUGAGAAACAAGCAACAGAAAGAGAAGCUUAUCUGUGGUCUGUGUCCGACAUGUAACUUGUUCAAGUUUCCUUUAACUUUUUAUAUUUCAACGAACACAACGAACGGCCUCUUCGCUAAUUUACAUAGGACUUGUGUCUUACAUAAUCACAACGUGUUGUCUUGCCUUGAGUAUCAACAAUCCAUUGUUAUCUUUUUUGUUGUAUAAGAUGUUGAAAAUGUUUCUGCGUUUCUUCUUUAUUCCUGGGUGAAAUUUUGAGUUAAUGCUUGAGAACAAUAAUUUGUAAGACAAAAACUUGCUAUGUUCAAUAUGUUUUUAUAUUUGUGUCUAUAUAAAAC
Molecule: unclassified non-coding RNA, 2369 nt
Filed under: Hevea brasiliensis (rubber tree)
Lineage: Eukaryota; Viridiplantae; Streptophyta; Magnoliopsida; Malpighiales; Euphorbiaceae
Source: RNAcentral